GCCUUCCUCAACAGCAGGAAUUGAACCUGUAUUUCCAAAUGAAAGAGAGCAACAUGUGAAUAGCUGGUGAUUUAGUACUACAGAUGAACAAAGAAGAGGAUAGACUUUGGUAGAAGAACCAUUUUGUGUAUACCCAAUACAUGAAUGUCCAAGAAAUAUAAAUAAAAGUUUCUCUAGUAUAGUCUGAGUUCUCCAAGUGCUACACCACUGUGCAUCUCUGUAUCUGCAUUGCAACACCUGCUCAAGUGUGCUGACAAUGUUCCCAAGCUUCUACAUAGAAAGUUUCUCAAAGACAGAUAACCGAGCACCAGAAACCCACUCACCGACGCUGAAAGAGACACGGUGAUAAAACCUGUUGAUUAUUCUCAGAUUUUUAUGACCUUUCAAUGAAGAAAAUACCUAAAAAUCAUUCUAACAAUGAGGAAAGUGAUCUGAUGGAAAUAUUGUCAAUAUAUAGGAAAAUAGGAGAAAUAGCUACUUAAGAAGACAAAGUCCCAGAAAAAAGGUGUCUCAAAAACUCUCACAUCAUAACAGAUAACAAGAUGGCAACAAUUGGUUCCUAGUUAAUAUUAGACAUUUCAUCAAGGAAAUAUCAACAAGAACAAGAAACUGACAAGUAUGGAAAGCUGGGUGAAAUAACUUGAAGAAAAAUGUCCACACCAAGAAACACUAUAAAAUCAAUUGAUAUACAAAUCAAACCCAACAAACCAAAUUUUUUCCUGAUUGAAGGUUUUGAUAUAAUUCUAAGACAAAUGGAACCUCAAAGUCAAAGACAUCAGGAGGAAGGAUCAGUGAGGGUAAAUGGAUCAAUUAGGCUUUUUA
Molecule: long non-coding RNA, 822 nt
Organism: Talpa occidentalis (Iberian mole)
Lineage: Eukaryota; Metazoa; Chordata; Mammalia; Eulipotyphla; Talpidae
Exons: 8
Source: RefSeq, a predicted model, not a curated record